GAAGUCUGUAUUUUGAAUGUAUAUUGUCACUUUAUUUCGCCUACAACCUUCACGCGAACUCAGCAAAAAAGGGAAAACCCUAUUUUACAGCGGCUUCAAAUCAGGUCCUUAUUAGUGCGACCAAUUGGCCUUUCUUCCUUAAAAUGGCGAUUGCCGUUUAAGGAAUAUCACUAGAAGCCGUUAGCAGCUAUUAUUUAAAUUGGUAGUUUCAACAAGUAAAUCGAAGAAGGCAUAUCUCUUUAUACUUUGAGUGGCAACUCAAGAAAUUGUUAAAAUUAGCUGUUAAAAAUUUGCCAUAAAUAUAGAGAGUGAAUGUCGUUUUGUUUACUAACAGUAGUACUCAUGUACUCUAAUCUAAAUAGCUGUUUAUUUCCAAAAAAAAUAGUUUUAUAGCUUAUUAUUCGUAAUAAUUAGUAUUCAACCUUAGAUUUGUAAUAUGCGCUCCGUUGCAAAUGCAAAAAGAUACUAUUAGAGAAGAGCCGAUUUUUUAAAU
Non-coding RNA from Schizosaccharomyces pombe (fission yeast), 493 nucleotides. The record is from the annotation of a GenBank genome assembly. NCBI's taxonomy places the organism in Eukaryota, Fungi, Ascomycota, Schizosaccharomycetes, Schizosaccharomycetales, Schizosaccharomycetaceae.